This 441-nucleotide ribosomal RNA is filed under the name uncultured bacterium. RNAcentral describes it as "partial 16S ribosomal RNA". It matches the Rfam family "Bacterial small subunit ribosomal RNA", at positions 338 to 795 of the family's 1533-position model. The record is from RNAcentral.
CCUACGGGAGGCAGCAGUGGGGAAUAUUGCACAAUGGAGGAAACCCUGAUGCAGCGACGCCGCGUGAGUGAAGAAGUAUUUCGGUUUGUAAAGCUCUAUCAGCAGGGAAGAAGAUAGACGGUACCUGACUAAAAAGCCCCGGCUAAUUACGUGCCAGCAGCCCGGGUAAAACGUUGGGGGCAAGCGGUAUCCGGAUUUACUGGGUGGAAAGGGUGCGUAGGCGGCUGUGCAAGUCUGAAGUUAAAGCCCAGGGCUCAACCCUGGGACUGCUUUGGAAACUGUGGGGCUAGAGUGAAGGAGAGGUAGGUGGAAUUCCUAGUGUAGCGGUGAAAUGCGUAGAUAUUAGGAGGAACACCAGUGGCGAAGGCGGCUUACUGGACAGUAACUGACGUUGAGGCUCGAAAGCGUGGGGAGCAAACAGGAUUAGAUACCCCGGUAGUC